AUCAGGUAGCAUAAAAUGAACAUUUCUAAAUGUAAAGAACAAGUAGCCUCCACAGUGCACCCCUGGUAGUCAUCGUUAAUGAUAUUAAUUAAUGAUAACGCAUGAAAGUUACGCAAUGCUUUAUGAAACAUUUCACUACAGAAAGCUUUUGAAAGCGUCCUCGUCAUCUGCACCACAUGAUGCAGCGUGCCGAUCAUCUGCACAACACAGGAAUGUCCAGUACGUGCAGAGAGAGGCAGAGAGAGAGAUUUGUUUCCCCACAGGCUUUUUCUUCCUCUAGUUGUUACAGUCGGGCUCAGGUCAGACAGUCAUCUGCGCAAUACCCCGCGAUCACAAGCCGGUCACAUGCUGCCGCAGCCAGGCACGGGAUGCAGCUUAUCCCGCUGCAGGGACCCGGUGGAGCGCACAGGAAUGACCAUCACAGGAUGAACCUGUCCGCAGGGCUCCGGGACAGACAGACCGACAGACAGACUGACAAACUUAAUGUGGAUUUCAACUUACAGCACAGACACAAGAGGGCAGCAGGGCCCGUUUAUUGCCUGGAACAGAGGAGCGCCACAGGACGACUGCCAGUCACAGCAUGGUUAGUUCAGUAAGAGCCUCCUCCUCAUCAGCUGUAAUGAGGCAGGAGAGGAUGGAGCGGUGCUGAUGAUCUGACCUGCUGCUGGUGUUGUCUUUCGCCUCUGUGCCUUCUUGUUUUCCCAUUUCGGAAAGCGUUUUCGUAUUAAAAGCCGUUCCCACCGUCCUGCAAAGAUGAAAGAUAAGUCUUGCUGAUUUCUGCUGCAGGGGAGAGACGUGAUUUGCACCUUGUAGCCCGAGGAGACAAUUAUUCUCUUACUUAGAAAAUCUGCCUGGAAAUCAGAAUGUUGCUUUUCAGUCUAAUUCUUGUGGUGGAGAAUUAGGUGGAGCUGAUUUGUGCUCUGUCUUUGAACAGGUGAACAGCUGGCUGUGUGUGUGUCAGAUGGUACGACCUCCUGACCUUUGACCCAUCAAGGCCCAUCAAGACUCAUCCCCAUCCAAACAGGAAGUGAGACAGAUGGAUGAAUCUGUGUUAUUACACUGAUUGAUCUGUAUAUUUAGUCAUUUAAUCAUUCUUUAAGCAUACAUAACUGGUCUUUUUUUAACGUGAAUGUUUUUGUGGAAAGCAACCCUUUUCAUUGACUCAAGUACUACAGUUUUGAGGUAUUUAUACUUCACUUGAGUAUUUCCGUUGCCUGCCAUUUUUAAACUUCAACAUUUUGGAAGCCAAUUAUAUGCUCUUUACUACUCUACUGCAUUUAUUUGAUAGCUUGAUUUACUAUGCAGAUUGAGAUUAUUUUUACUAAACAGAAAUGAACAGACACAACAUGAUGUAUUGAUAAUGAUUUAUCUACCCAGCAGUAUACAAAGUAGUUUAAAACAGCUCCUCCACCUACCAGCAGUGUUAUAUAAAGUAUUCAAAAAUCAUACUUGGGUAAAAAUAGAGAUAAUGUUUUAAAAUUUUGCUUUGGUAGAAAUGAAAGUAACCCCUGCAAAUAUUCCCUGAGUAAAAGUAUCCUAUAUUAUAUUCAUAUAUUUACAUGUAUGUAAAUAUUUUACCCUGUGGAUUGACUGAUUAUCAGUGUUCUUAGUCACACUCCAUAGCUGCCUACCAGCUUUAGACACUAGAAAGAUUAAUACAUUAUUGCAUUGCUGAUUAUGAUUUUUAUAUAUUAUAACUUUGUAUUUUAGGGGUUUCAGCUGUCGAUUAUGCACACCAAGACACUCUGAACGCCACUGUUGGCUCCGGUAACUGGGAUGGGCAUUUUUUUUGCUGAUAUUCACUAGACCAAGUGAUUGCUUAAAUAAAACAUUCAAAUAUAUUAAAUAAGAAAAAUAAUCUGAUUAAUCAGAAAUGAAAAACGAUCAUUAGUCGAAACCCUAAGUUGAAGAUAUUCUAAGAGGGGCUUCUACUUCAAAGUUAGCUAUUUCUGCAUGACAGCAUUCAUAUUCUGCUGCAUCAUCCCCAGUUUGUGUGCUGUCCCUGUUAUCAGGGCGUCUUGGUACUCAGACACAGUGUGACAGCUUGUCAACCUGUGCUGACAGUUAACAUCGAUACUGAGGCUGCUUUUACUUUGUAUGCAUCCAGACUCUGGAACAUCCUACUGGAGGAUCUGAGGACACGCUCUCUUUUUUUAAAGUAUGUUGAAUUUGCAUUUUUCUGCUUUAAAAUGUGAUGGAUUGACUCAGUGUUGUGUUAUAGUUUAAACCCACAUCUGUUCCAGUGGGAUUCUGUUUUAAAGGACAUUUGUUGAAUUUUUUUUUUCCACAGUUAUUUUAUUAAAGGUUAAGGUAUAGGUCUGCCAAUGAAGCAAGACUUUUUGAAUACAGUGUGUUUCCAGUAGUUUCUACAUCUUUGCUGAGUGGAGUUACACAAUGUGAAAUACUUGACUCUUGUGUCAAAAUAUAACAUUAAAAUACUAUUUUGAAAGAAGA
Molecule: long non-coding RNA, 2454 nt
Organism: Acanthopagrus latus (yellowfin seabream)
Lineage: Eukaryota; Metazoa; Chordata; Actinopteri; Spariformes; Sparidae
Exons: 2
Source: RefSeq, a predicted model, not a curated record